Molecule: long non-coding RNA, 963 nt
Filed under: Oreochromis niloticus (Nile tilapia)
Lineage: Eukaryota; Metazoa; Chordata; Actinopteri; Cichliformes; Cichlidae
Description: lncRNA (ENSONIG00000029571.1)
Source: RNAcentral
AUGUCCCACAGGGAGCCAAGCAGCAUGAUGUGCUCCAUACAGCUGACUUCCACAAACGGGGCCCUGUGUAUCAUCAAUCCCCUCUACCUCCGUGAACACGGAGAUGAGUGGCUGACCCACAGGCCCGCUGCCGCACAGCCGUCAAAUUACAGACGAGAGCGACGCCUCAGCACCACCCGGCAAUGGGCAGGCGCCGGGUUACAAAGUAAACGAGCCAUCUCUUUGGAGCAAGAAAUCCCUGCUCCCAAUACAGAAAGCUCAGGUUUAACCAGAGCCCGUUCCGCUGAUUCAGCACCAGCUGAGCAAACACCAUCAGGGGUGGUCCUCCGGCGGCCCAGUCGGGAUUUAGUAAUCUCCCAGCCUCAGAGAGUGAGCACGGGGAGCCUACCUUCAUCCACUUCCUCCACCCCCAGAAAUGGAACACCUGAGUUGCAGCGCCACAGCAGCCCCGUGCCUCAGUCUCCUCACAGGGUGUCCUGGAUUGAGGAUGGUGUCUGGCUGCCUCCACCCAGGCCUUCUUCCUUGCUCCAGCCUCCAUCACUCGAGCUUGACUCGAUUUCAAUCAGCAGCAUAGAGGAAGAGAUGGAGCCCCAGAUGCUAAGCUCGCCACAUCACCACCCUUCAGCACACCGUUUGGCUGAUAAGGUCCUACAUCGCCUCUCUGCCGUGGGCCAGGCGCUGGGUGGGCUGGUAAGCCAGAAAAAAAGACUGUCCAAUCGUGUGCAAGAGCUGAGUGAGAGGAAAGGUGCUGCAUUCGCAGAGGCUGUGAAGGGAUUUGUGGAGAUGACAUCGAAGCGAGGGACUGAUCCUAGCGGUGUCACAGGGUCGGAGUUCUUACAGGAAGUGAGAUUAUCACUCACAUCACUGAGGGAGACACUGCUGGAAUAUGCGGAAAUCCAGAUGUUACUGGAUAGCAUAACUGACCUAAACGACUCAGAGAUUGGUGAGUGGGCUGUGACAUAA